Molecule: ribosomal RNA, 1343 nt
Filed under: uncultured bacterium
Lineage: Bacteria
Description: 16S ribosomal RNA
Rfam family: Bacterial small subunit ribosomal RNA
Source: RNAcentral
GACGAACGUUGGCGGCGUGCUUAACACAUGCAAGUCGAACGGAAAGGCCCUGCUUUUGUGGGGUGCUCGAGUGGCGAACGGGUGAGUAACACGUGAGUAACCUGCCCUUGACUUUGGGAUAACUUCAGGAAACUGGGGCUAAUACCGGAUAGGAGCUCCUGCUGCAUGGUGGGGGUUGGAAAGUUUCGGCGGUUGGGGAUGGACUCGCGGCUUAUCAGCUUGUUGGUGGGGUAGUGGCUUACCAAGGCUUUGACGGGUAGCCGGCCUGAGAGGGUGACCGGCCACAUUGGGACUGAGAUACGGCCCAGACUCCUACGGGAGGCAGCAGUGGGGAAUAUUGCACAAUGGGCGGAAGCCUGGUGCAGCAACGCCGCGUGCGGGAUGACGGCCUUCGGGUUGUAAACCGCUUUCGCCUGUGACGAAGCGUGAGUGACGGUAAUGGGUAAAGAAGCACCGGCUAACUACGUGCCAGCAGCCGCGGUGAUACGUAGGGUGCGAGCGUUGUCCGGAUUUAUUGGGCGUAAAGGGCUCGUAGGUGGUUGAUCGCGUCGGAAGUGUAAUCUUGGGGCUUAACCCUGAGCGUGCUUUCGAUACGGGUUGACUUGAGGAAGGUAGGGGAGAAUGGAAUUCCUGGUGGAGCGGUGGAAUGCGCAGAUAUCAGGAGGAACACCAGUGGCGAAGGCGGUUCUCUGGGCCUUUCCUGACGCUGAGGAGCGAAAGCGUGGGGAGCGAACAGGCUUAGAUACCCUGGUAGUCCACGCUGUAAACGGUGGGUACUAGGUGUGGGGUCCAUUCCACGGGUUCCGUGCCGUAGCUAACGCUUUAAGUACCCCGCCUGGGGAGUACGGCCGCAAGGCUAAAACUCAAAGGAAUUGACGGGGCCCCGCACAAGCGGCGGAGCAUGCGGAUUAAUUCGAUGCAACGCGUAGAACCUUACCUGGGUUUGACAUGGAUCGGGAGUGCUCAGAGAUGGGUGUGCCUCUUUUGGGGUCGGUUCACAGGUGGUGCAUGCCUGUCGUCAGCUCGUGUCGUGAGAUGUUGGGUUAAGUCCCGCAACGAGCGCAACCCUUGUUCACUGUUGCCAGCACGUUAUGGUGGGGACUCAGUGGAGACCGCCGGGGUCAACUCGGAGGAAGGUGGGGAUGACGUCAAGUCCUCAUGCCCCUUAUGUCCAGGGCUUCACGCAUGCUACAAUGGCUGGUACAGAGAGUGGCGAGCCUGUGAGGGUGAGCGAAUCUCGGAAAGCCGGUCUCAGUUCGGAUUGGGGUCUGCAACUCGACCUCAUGAAGUCGGAGUCGCUAGUAAUCGCAAAUCAGCAACGCUGCGGUGAAUACGUUCCCGGG